UUAUCGGGGCUGUUAGUAGUAUCUGGAAUUUGUUCUUUAUCUGGCAACGCUGGUACAGGGAUGUACCAGCGAGGUGCAUAGGAACAGGGAUGUGACUUUGCACCGGUUGCCGGAACAGAGACAACGAAAAAACAAAUUCCAGAUACUACUUACACCCUGAUACC
Regulatory RNA element from Roseburia sp. CAG:45, 164 nucleotides. The record is from Rfam. Lineage: Bacteria; Bacillati; Bacillota; Clostridia; Lachnospirales; Lachnospiraceae.